RNAcentral lists this ribosomal RNA (431 nucleotides) under uncultured bacterium. Its description in RNAcentral is "partial 16S ribosomal RNA". It matches the Rfam family "Bacterial small subunit ribosomal RNA", at positions 29 to 507 of the family's 1533-position model. The record is from RNAcentral.
AGCGAACGCUGGCGGUAGGCCUAAUACAUGCAAGUCGAACGGCACCACGGUACAGUGUCGGUCGGAUGGGUGACGAGUGGGAAAGGGGUCAUUGGUACGGCACAACAUAGGGAUACUUGUGGUAAUACCGAAUGUGACUUACGCGGGAAAGAUAUAUCGCCUUUGGGGGGGACCACGGUGGAUUCGGUCGUUGGGGGGGUAAAGGCGCAGCAAGGGGACGAGCCAUAGCGUGUCUGAGAGGCCGACCAGCCACACGUGGCGUGGGACACGGCCCAGACUCCUACGGGAGGCAGGAGUAGGUAAUCUUGCGCUAUGGGCUAAAGCCUGACGCAGCCAGGCCGCGUGAAUGAUUAUGUUCUGAGGAUUGUAAAAUUCUUUCACCCGGGAAUAUAAUGACGGUACCCGGAGAAGAAGCCCCGGCUAACUUCGUG